AGUAACGUCCCUUCUCUCAAAGGUUUUAUGAUGAAGGUGAUAACUGAACCUUGUCCUCUUCAGAGGGACCUCCCUGAUGUCUUCAACGCCCCUCAAACCAAAGAUUCUGCCUCUGAGAGUCGCAGGAUGGGAAAAUGACAGUGUCUCUGUUCACUGCUGCCACAGAUUUUCAGUCCAUCUUUUCAAAAUUCCAUUGUAUUUUUCACUAAUACAUGCCAUGUAGAGAUUAUUUAUGGAUUAAUAUUGUCUUGAUAGUGUUUAACUAAUUACAUUUAUGUAACAGACAUGAUUGUAUGUAAUCAUGCUUUGCAUUUGUGAUGCUUCAUGUUUUUUGGGGUGUUUUUUGCUAAUGAUUUUCAUAUUCUUAACAGCAGCAAACACAUAUAUGAAAUGUACCCAUUGAAUGUCAGCUAAACCAAAAACCUUUUUAUUUUGUUUUAGUGUUUAAACAACCAAUCUCAGCAACAUAGUUUUAUUUAGUCAAUUCUAUUUUGUAUACAUAUAAUGAUCUGCUGCCUGAUCCACAGUAUUGAGCUGGUCCUUUUUUUCCUGCCCUUGAAUGUAAUGUGAAUAGGAACACCAGAGUAUAUAUACAUCUGUAGCUGGGCUGGGCUCACCAGGCAUAAGUCAUCAGCUCAGCCAUUAAACGGUUAAUCUGUUAUCUGGGGUGGGGUUAAAUUGAGCAAAUUGUGAUUUUUGCAUGCAGUGCUAGCUAAUCAGUUGAGCUGUGUGGAGGAGGGGGGGGGGGCAGACAGGCAAUGUUGAUAUAAGGAGGUGACUGUCACUGUCACAACAAAGGGGAUUUUCUUCGCGUGCCCAGCUGAACGCUGUACCUCUUUCAGUGCUGCUGUGUUUUGGUUUUACUACUACUGUAGAGUGGUUGGAGUGUCAAACCAGUGUCUUAAAAGUGUCUUUAGGAUGAGCUGUAUUUGGAUCAGUUUGAACUCGGAUUUUCUGAGCUGUGAUGUCACAAUGUGGUGGAUUAGUGUUCUGUGUAUAAAGGUUUGGUUAAUUUGAUGUUAUAUUCAGGAGAUUAUAGUUUUCUGAGGUUGUUUAUUAUAUUAUUAGAAAUGGAUUACAUUUAAUGUCCAUUUAGACGAAAUUAAUUCCAAGCACAUUUCAUUAUUCACCAUUUUUUCUGCUGUAUUUUUAUACGAAGUUGCAUCAGAUUGUUUUUGUUAAUUUUGUAUUAAAU
Long non-coding RNA from Esox lucius (northern pike), 1195 nucleotides. The record is from Ensembl. NCBI's taxonomy places the organism in Eukaryota, Metazoa, Chordata, Actinopteri, Esociformes, Esocidae.